RNAcentral lists this ribosomal RNA (491 nucleotides) under uncultured bacterium. RNAcentral's name for it is "bacterial SSU rRNA". It matches the Rfam family "Bacterial small subunit ribosomal RNA", at positions 38 to 507 of the family's 1533-position model. The record is from RNAcentral.
GGCGGCGUGCCUAACACAUGCAAGUCGAACGGAGUGUUUAUUUAUAAACACUUAGUGGCGAACGGGUGAGUAACGCGUAGACAACCUACCCUCUAGAUGGGGACAACACCGCGAAAGUGGUGCUAAUACCGAAUGUUGUAAUGUUAUUGCAUAAUGAUAUUACUAAAAGGUGGCCUCUAUAUAAAAGCUACCGCUAGAAGAUGGGUCUGCGUCUGAUUAGCUAGUUGGUGAGAUAACAGCUCACCAAGGCAAUGAUCAGUAGCCGGUCUGAGAGGAUGAACGGCCACACUGGGACUGAGACACGGCCCAGACUCCUACGAGAGGCAGCAGUGGGGAAUCUUCCGCAAUGGACGAAAGUCUGACGGAGCAACGCCGCGUGAGUGAAGAAGGUUUUCGGAUCGUAAAGCUCUGUCUUCAAGGACGAAUGUAGAUAUUGUGAAUAAUGAUAUUUAAUGACGGUACUUGAGGAGGAAGCCACGGCUAACUACGUG